Molecule: long non-coding RNA, 533 nt
Filed under: Cercocebus atys (sooty mangabey)
Lineage: Eukaryota; Metazoa; Chordata; Mammalia; Primates; Cercopithecidae
Description: lncRNA (ENSCATG00000045517.1)
Source: RNAcentral
CUGAUCAUCAUCAUCAUCAUGAGUCCUGAUCAUCAUCAUCAUCAUCGAGUCAUGAUCAUCAUCAUCAUCGAGUCCUGAUCAUCAUCAUGAGUCCUGAUCAUCAUCAUCAUCAUGAGUCCUGAUCAUCAUCAUCACCAUCAUGAGUUCUGAUCAUCAUCAUCAUGAGUACUGAUCAUCAUCAUCAUCACCAUCAUGAGUCCUGAUCAUCAUCAUCAUCAUGAGUCCUGAUCAUCAUCAUGAGUUCUGAUCAUCAUCAUCAUCAUCAUGAGUCCUGAUCAUCAUGAGUCCUGAUCAUCAUCAUCAUGAGUCGUCAUCAUCAUCGAGUCCUCAUCAUCAUCAUCAUCGAGUCCUGAUCAUCAUCAUCAUCAUGAGUCCUGAUCAUUAUCAUCAUCAUCAUCAUCGAGUCCUGAUCAUCAUCAUCAUGAGUCCUGAUCAUCAACAUCAUCAUGAGUUCUGAUCAUCAUCAUCAUCAUCAUGAGUCCUGAUCAUCAUCAUCAUGAGUCCUGAUCAUCAUCAUGAGUCCUCAUCCUCAU